This 1004-nucleotide ribosomal RNA is filed under the name human gut metagenome. Its description in RNAcentral is "bacterial LSU rRNA". It matches the Rfam family "Bacterial large subunit ribosomal RNA", at positions 1920 to 2925 of the family's 2925-position model. The record is from RNAcentral.
CCGGUGAACGGCGGCCGUAACUAUAACGGUCCUAAGGUAGCGAAAUUCCUUGUCGGGUAAGUUCCGACCCGCACGAAAGGUGUAACGAUUUGGGCACUGUCUCAACGAGGGACCCGGUGAAAUUGAAAUACCUGUGAAGAUGCAGGUUACCCGCGACUGGACAGAAAGACCCCAUGGAGCUUUACUGUAACCUGACAUUGGGUUUUGAUACAUUACGUACAGGAUAGGUGGGAGGCUUGGAAAGCUGGACGCUAGUCUGGCUGGAGCCGACGUUGGGAUACCACCCUUGAUGUAUUGAAAUUCUAACCGCGAGAGUAACGAAAUCCGGGACAGUGUCAGGCGGGCAGUUUGACUGGGGCGGUCGCCUCCGAAAGAGUAACGGAGGCGCCCAAAGGUUCCCUCAGCGCGGCCGGAAAUCGCGCGAAGAGUGUAAAGGCAGAAGGGAGCUUGACUGCGAGUCAAACACGACGAGCAGGUACGAAAGUAGGGCUUAGUGAUCCGGUGGUACCGAGUGGAAGGGCCAUCGCUCAACGGAUAAAAGCUACCCUGGGGAUAACAGGCUAAUCUCUCCCAAGAGUCCAUAUCGACGGGGAGGUUUGGCACCUCGAUGUCGGCUCAUCACAUCCUGGGGCUGAAGUCGGUCCCAAGGGUUGGGCUGUUCGCCCAUUAAAGUGGUACGUGAGCUGGGUUCAGAACGUCGUGAGACAGUUCGGUCCCUAUCCAUCGCGGGCGCAAGAGAUUUGAAGGGGGCUGCUCCUAGUACGAGAGGACCGGAGUGGACGAACCGCUGGUGUACCAAUUAUCCCGCCAGGGGUACAGUUGGGUAGCUACGUUCGGAAAGGAUAAACGCUGAAAGCAUCUAAGCGUGAAACCAGCCUUAAGAUGAGAUCUCUCAUAGAGCAAUCUAGUAAGACACCUUAAAGAAGAUGAGGUUGAUAGGUCGGGAGUGUAAGUACAGCAAUGUAUUGAGCGGACCGAUACUAAUAUGUCGAGGGCUUGACUUA